This is a long non-coding RNA of Brachypodium distachyon (stiff brome), 1421 nucleotides long. RefSeq lists it as uncharacterized. Lineage: Eukaryota; Viridiplantae; Streptophyta; Magnoliopsida; Poales; Poaceae. The record is from RefSeq and is a predicted model, not a curated record. The transcript is spliced from 2 exons.
AUCGAACUGCUCAUGCCAAAAUAGUGCCAGACCCCCACUCGUAUCCUCACUAUCAACUCUAGCAAAACCCGACAAACCUAAACGAUUACGGAGGCGGCGACUAACUUUAUCUUUAUUCUGCCUCGUCUCACACAAAAACACUAACUGCAGCUGCAAUUUCUGGGAAAAAACUACCAGCUCACGAACUGUCGUGGUAUUCCCCCCUCCACGACAGUUCCAGGCCAGAAAAUUCAUGGCUCCUGACGGAGCUCAUCAGGCUCCGUCAACGGCCCCAAGGCUGGUCGCACUCCCAUCCUCCUCAACGCUCCUCUGCGUCCCAUCUCUAGUGUGUUUCGUCUUCAUGGCAGUAGGUGCCUCCACCUCAUCUGGGAGCACCUCAUGGUUCUGCUGCUCUUCCGCUUCCGUCUCCUCUAUCGGCAGUUGUAUGUCCUCUUCCGCGUACUUCCUUUUCUUUCUCAGGAUCGAUUCCUUUGCCUCCAGAAAGCUUCCGGCCACCCGUGAAGCCGCAGCCCAUCUCUUCUUUUUCAGCAACUUCUUCCUCAGCAUUUUUUCCUUCUGCAUACCAGACUUGUCCGGCGCUUGAUUUGGCAGUGGAUUGUUGAUGCCAACCUCAGUCUGGCCCAGUGUCAGUCGUGCAAUAUCUCCAUCCCCGUCUCCUGCUUCUUGCUGACCCACAUCCUCACGAACUGAGAUUUUGUUCACCGCCUCCGUCAUCCCCUGCACCACAGCCACAAUGUUCGGAUCUGUUUCGGUUCUUUCCUCUGCCUCCCCGCCACCGUCAGCUUGAACAGCCCCCUUGUUUGCCUCAGUCGCAGUGGCAGGCAGGCCCAAGCUUCUACAGUUGUCUUUGUAUGUGCACGCGCGCGUUCGCGUGAGAGGCACUGGCUCUUAAGGGAAUGCAAGUUGUGUAUAGAUUGGCUUUCUGCACUUGUUCGAUUGGAAGUGGAAGCAUGUGGCUUUGGUUGCUGGGAAUUCGUAGGUGUAAUUAUCUUCAUCCUUGGUUUCUUGGUGAACUAGUGAAGGCUAGGAUUGCAGCAGCAUGAGCCACUCACCAAUGAACGCACUGGAAAUUCAUGCAUACAAGAAAAGUUGAUGCAGAAGAUGCAGGUUCUUUUUCUAUUGAGGCGGUUGAAUUAAAAGGACAGAGAAGUACUCCAUGUCAGGAGAGUGUGAAGCUGUUGUAUAAUUUCUCGUUGUGAAGACUGGAUUAAUUAACAACAUCAACAUUGAGUUUUUGGCAUUUUAUUAGGUUGUAACUGAAUAUCACAUAGCACUGCCUUUUCAUGUAAUCCUAGAUUUCUUUAGCAUUUUUUUUGAGAGAUCAUUUCUUUAACAUUUCAGUGUGAAGUCCUGAAACAUUGAGUUUUGGGCAUCUGUCUUCUGAUCGGAAUAUGUGAAAAGACAAUCUCCUACUUAUCUUA